GUCUCUGCCCAUCCGCGCACCCGGGCUCCGGGCUGGAGAGGGCCGGCUCGCUUCAGGAGGCCGAACCCCGUUCCCACCACCCCUCUCAGCUCAGAAGCGGGGUGCUGAGUCACGGGGGGGGGUGGUUCUGUGGAUAGUUGGAAUGCAUACACAGAGGAAAGGGGGAUGCGGCACCAGGCUGUACCGCCAGGAAAUGGGAUUGCAUGACUGACAGCAGAUACCAUGUACCCAGAGGCCUGGAUACCUGUGUGGAGUUACUAGCCCUGGCCCCUCCUCUGCCAACCUCAGCUGGCUCCCCUGUUUGGGCGCAGGCCCAGUGCUUGCCUCCUACUCCGUUCUCCGUGACCAAGUCAACGGGCCCUGCCCUCCCAGGACGUUUCUAACAACAUCCACCCGCUGAGAGCCACCCAGAGAAUAUAAGGAGGAGGCUGGCUGGCCGCUGCAGGCCUCUCACAGAUCCAUCCCUGCUCACUAUCCUGCAGCAGACAGAGAGAUAGGACCCCAGCCAGCCCCUGUCCAGGCAGCGGGAGCAGCUUAUCACAGGCAAGGAAGAUGCUGCCGAUAACUAUGCCUGGGGCCACUACACCAUUGGGAAGGAGUUCAUCGACCUGGUACUGGACCGGAUUUGGAAGCCACUUCUCUGCGCUUUGACGGGGCCCUCAAUGUGGACCUGACAGAGUUCCAGACCAACCUGGUGCCCUACCCUCGCAUCCACUUCCCCCUGGCCACCUAUGCACCAGUCAUCUCUGCAGAAAAGGCAUACCACGAGCAGCUGUCGGUGGCAGAGAUCACCAAUGCCUGCUUUGAGCCUGCCAACCAGAUGGUGAAGUGUGAUCCCCGGCAUGGCAAGUACAUGGCCUGCUGCCUGCUGUACCGUGGAGAUGUGGUGCUCAAGGAUGUCAAUGCUGCCAUUGCUGCCAUUAAGACCAAGCGCAGCAUUCAGUUUGUGGACUGGUGCCCCACAGGCUUUAAGGUUGAUAUCAACCACCAGCCACCCACUGUGGUGCCUGGGAGUGACCUGGUAAAGUGCAACAUGCCAUGUGCAUGCUGAGCAACAUGACAGCCAUCACUAUGGCCUGGGCCCGCCUGGACCACAAGUUCGACCUGAUGUAUGCCAAGAGGGCAUUUGUGCACUGGUA
RNAcentral lists this small RNA (1139 nucleotides) under Pongo abelii (Sumatran orangutan). RNAcentral's name for it is "processed transcript". Lineage: Eukaryota; Metazoa; Chordata; Mammalia; Primates; Hominidae. The record is from RNAcentral.